GAGGAAUGUAUAGCGAUAGCUAAUUGUAUUAACAAAUUGUUAAUGCAAUAUCGACUAUGUUGAAUAAAAUUCUAGGUAGAAUUAUGAUAAUGACAUUAUCUGCCUAUGUGUCUUGACCAAAUUACGUGCCAGCAGUCGCGGUAAUACGUAGAAGACUAGUGUUAUUCAUCUUUAAUAGGUUUAAAGGGUACCUAGACGGUAAAUCAAGCCACUAAAGGGACUAAUUUACUAGAGUUACUUGAGAGGGGGUUUUAAAGUACUGCUGGUGUAAGAGAUGAAAUUCUUUGAUACCAAUUCUACGCUUAGGGAAUUAUGGCACAGGUAUAGGCGAAGGCAUCCCCUUAUGUGAUAACUGACGUUGAAGGACGAAGGCUUUUUAUAGCGAACAGGAUUAGAUACCCUAGUAGUCAAAGCAGAAAAUGAUGAAUGUCAUAGAUUAGACAUCAAAUAGUUUAUUCUAUAAAUGAAAGUGUAAGCAUUCCACCUCAAGAGUAAUUUGGCAACAUUGGAACUGAAAUCAUUAGACCGUUUCUGAAACCAGUAGUGAAGUAUGUUGUUUAAUUUGAUAAUCCGCAAAAAACCUUACCACAAUUUGAAUAUUUAUAUUAUUUCUUAUCUCAAAAUUUUGAAAAAAGAAAUGUAUAUUUACAAGCGUUGCACGGCUGUCUUCAGUUAAUGUCGUGAGAUUUUGGUUAGAUCCAUUAAAUUAACGUAAACCCUUACUUUAUUUUUAAAUAAAGUAGUUCUCCGCUAGAUUGGAUAAG
This 764-nucleotide ribosomal RNA is filed under the name Lecanora nothocaesiella. RNAcentral's name for it is "SSU rRNA". It matches the Rfam family "Bacterial small subunit ribosomal RNA", at positions 356 to 1172 of the family's 1533-position model. Lineage: Eukaryota; Fungi; Ascomycota; Lecanoromycetes; Lecanorales; Lecanoraceae. The record is from RNAcentral.